AGUCAUAUGCUUGUCUCAAAGAUUAAGCCAUGCAUGUCUUAGUAUGAACCAACUUCAUACGGUGAAACUGCGAAUGGCUCAUUAAAUCAGUUAUAAUUUACUCGACCGUACCAAUUACUACUUGGAUAUCCGUGGUAAUUCUAGAGCUAAUACAUGCACAAAAGCCGCGACUUCUGGGAGCGGUGUACUUAUUAGAUAAAAAGCCAGCCCUCUCCCUCGGGGGGGGUCACCUGGUGAUUCAUGGUCAUUGGUCGGAUCGCACGGCCUUGCGCCGGCGACGGGUCGUUCAAGUCUCUGCCCUAUCAACUUUCGAUGGUGUGUUAGGGGCCCACCAUGGUUGUGACGGGUAACGGGGAAUUAGGGUUCGAUUCCGGAGAGGGAGCCUGAGAAACGGCUACCACAUCUAAGGAAGGCAGCAGGCGCGCAAAUUACCCAAUCCCGACUCGGGGAGGUAGUGACAAUAAAUAACAAUCCGGGGCCUCUGGUCCCGGAAUUGGAAUGAGAACAAUUUAAAUCCCUUAACGAGGAACAAUUGGAGGGCAAGUCUGGUGCCAGCAGCCGCGGUAAUUCCAGCUCCAAUAGCGUAUAUUAAAGUUGUUGCAGUUAAAUAGCUCGUAGUUGAAUCCCGGGCCCGCGCUUCUGGCGGGCGGUGCGGCGGCGCGCCGGGGGCAACCCCUCGUGCUGCCGCCACUUCCCGCCGCGGGCCCACCAACCGCUCCCCUUUUCGGCCCCGGCGUUGCCCUCGCGGGCCGCGCCGGACAAAGGCCGGGGGACCUUUACUUUGAAAAAAUUAGAGUGUUCAAAGCAGGCACACGCCGCUCGGAUAGAUUAGCAUGGAAUAACGGAACAGGGCUGCGGUCCUAUUUCGCUGGUUUCUAGGACCGAGGCAAUGGUUAACAGGAACAGUCGGGGGCAUUGGUAUUUGGCAGUCAGAGGUGAAAUUCUUGGAUUUGCCAAAGACCGACUACUGCGAAAGCAUUUGCCAAGGAUGUUUUCAUUGAUCAAGAACGAAAGUUGGGGGAUCGAAGACGAUCAGAUACCGUCGUAGUCUCAACCAUAAACGAUGCCGACCGGGGAUCGGACGCCGUUGUUUUUAGCGACGCGUUCGGCACCCCAAGAGAAAUCGCGAGUCUUUGGGUACCGGGGGGAGUAUGGUCGCAAGGCUGAAACUUGAAGGAAUUGACGGAAGGGCACCACCAGGCGAGGAACUUGCGGCUUAAUUUGACUCAACACGGGGAAACUCACCAGGUCCAGACAUGGCGAGGAUUGACAGACUGAGAGCUCUUUCAUGAUUCUAUGGGUGGUGGUGCAUGGCCGUUCUUGGUUGGUGGAGCGAUUUGUCUGGUUAAUUCCGAUAACGAACGAGACCUUGACCUGCUAAAUAGUCGCGCCCACUCCUGUGGGGUCCGCCCUUCGGGGACACGACUUCUUAGAGGGACUGCGGGCCUCCAGCCCGCGGAAGUUCGAGGCAAUAACAGGUCUGUGAUGCCCUUAGAUGUUCUGGGCCGCACGCGUGUUACACUGACGGAGGCAGCGAGUGGAAACCUGGUUUCCCUGGGCCGGCAGGCCCGGGUAAUCUUGUGAGACUCCGUCGUGCUGGGGAUAGACCCUUGCAAUUAUUGGUCUUCAACGAGGAUUGCCUAGUAGGCGCAGGUCAUCAGCCUGCGCCGAUUACGUCCCUGCCCUUUGUACACACCGCCCGUCGCUACUACCGAUUGAAUGGCUUGGUGAGGCCUCCGGAUCGGCCCUCCUGGGUGCGGCAACGUGCCCGGGGGUCGAGAAGCUGGCCAAACUUGGUCAUUUAGAGGAAGUAAAAGUCGUAACAAGGUAACCGUA
This 1836-nucleotide ribosomal RNA is filed under the name Cladochytrium sp. NBRC 105429. RNAcentral's name for it is "SSU rRNA". It matches the Rfam family "Eukaryotic small subunit ribosomal RNA". The record is from RNAcentral. Lineage: Eukaryota; Fungi; Chytridiomycota; Chytridiomycetes; Cladochytriales; Cladochytriaceae.